This is an RNA transcript of Felis catus (domestic cat), 4319 nucleotides long. It is a transcript of the gene named aph-1 homolog B, gamma-secretase subunit, with no coding region annotated. The record is from RefSeq and is a predicted model, not a curated record. The transcript has 8 exons. Lineage: Eukaryota; Metazoa; Chordata; Mammalia; Carnivora; Felidae.
CCGCCGUCGCGCCCUGCUCCCGCCCCCGCGCGGCGCUGAGCUCUGUCGGCGCCUGGCGUACUUCGAGUCCCCGCCAGGCCUCCGGGCCGGCUUCCGCGGUCGCCAUGACGGCGGCCGUGUUCUUCGGCUGCGCCUUCAUUGCCUUCGGGCCUGCGCUGGCCCUCUACAUCUUCACCAUCGCCACUGAGCCGUUGCGCGUCAUCUUCCUCAUCAUCGGAGCUUUUUUCUGGUUGGUAUCUCUGCUGUUUUCGUCCCUGUUUUGGUUCAUGGCAAGAACCAUUACUGACAACAAAGAUGGACCAAUACAGAAAUAUCUGCUGAUCUUGGGAGUGUUAGUCUCCGUCCUUGUCCAAGAAAUGUUUCGAUUUGCAUAUUAUAAACUUUUGAAAAAAGCCAAUGAGGGUUUGAGGAGUAUAAACCCAGACGAGACAGCACCCUCUAUGCGAUUGCUGGCCUAUGUUUCUGGCUUGGGUUUUGGAAUCAUGAGUGGAGUAUUUUCCUUUGUAAAUACCCUUUCUGACUCCUUGGGACCAGGCACAGUGGGCAUUCAUGGAGACUCUCCUCAGUUCUUCCUAAAUUCAGCUUUCAUGACGCUGGUUAUCAUAUUGCUGCACGUGUUCUGGGGCAUCAUAUUUUUUGAUGGCUGUGAGAAGAAAAAGUGGUCUGCCCUUCUUGUAGUUCUUCUGACCCAUCUGCUGGUGUCAGCCCUGACCUUCAUAAGUCCUCAUUAUGGAAUAAAUUUGGUGUCAACAUAUAUAAUUGUGGUACUCAUGGGCAUUUGGGCAUUCUUUGUUGCUGGCGGCAGCUGCCGAAGCCUGAAACUGUGCCUCCUCUGCCAAGACAAGGACUUCCUCCUUUUCAAUCAGCGUUCCAGAUAACCUCUGACAACCAGCACCUGCCAAACACAGUAAAUCAUUAUCCUGCGCUAUGCUAAGAACCAUAACAGAGAUGAACGGGUUGUUCCAGCCGCAUUGAAAGAGACUCUGCCCUUUGAGCACGCGGUCUGCUUCAGCACUUUUCUUACUGUGUUCAGAUUAAACGGAGAGGAACAGAAUUCCCUGCUGAAGAGAUGAAGAGACUCUUCUCUAUAGGACUCAAUCCAGAAGAACUGUGCACUUUCAAGGACCCUCCACAGGGAAUCUGCCACUUUCGGGUCACCUUGAAGUAUUUUCUCUGUUAGAGACAUUUAUGGCCCAUCUUCACCAGGCCCUUGGUGAUGAUGUGGCUUCAUAGCAGAAAAUAUAAUAAUGAGAAAUCCAUUUAAAUGCCCACACUCUCCCAGCCUACACCCUAACUCCUUCUUUAUUCCCCGUGUGUAGGUAGAAGCCUCCACAUUGCAAUUAGCCUGAAAGAAAUUGCAGUCCUGGGGUUUCAGAGAUGGGCCUGGUUUGAAAUGCAUGCCCCUCCAAGAGUGCCGUCCUAUUGGGCCAGAAUUAUAGCCCCUCCACACGUGUAACUCUACCUAUAAUUAGCCUGAGACAUUAAGCAGUUCAGCAGUUAAGAACAGAGGAGAGUGGUCAUCUCAUUAUUUACCUUGGGCUCCACUGGCUGAUCAGUAGCAUUUAUCUCCUUGUAUUUAUUGCCCUGUAAACAGUCAGAGCCACACCCCCAAGUUCUGUCCUCUGGGAGCUCUUAAGUGGAGCAUCUCAAGCACCCCCACCGUACCCCCUGCACACCUAUAGUGAAGGAACAAUGCUCCACUCCUUCCGUUUCGUCUGGGCAUUUUGGGGUAGUGCCUCAGAACGACACAACACAAUGUUGUGCCGACAUCCCAGACUAUCCUCUUUGACUCUCUCAUUGCCGUGAUGUCCCGUGAAUUAUAAUGCCAGUCUUCCCUUGGCUUGUGGCCCUGGGCCCCAAGGUUCCAAGCACAACCCAUGCCCAGGAAAAGGAAAGCUGGAGUGGGAAAGGCCUGUGCAAACAGCACGGCUUGUGAAGAAAGAUGGAGAAGUUGGGGGAAGCAAUUAGCCCAGUAGGAUUCAGCAGCGAGAUACGAUACGUCAGCGAGACAAGCCGGUGGGAUCCCGAUCUGUGCAGGCAGAAGAGCGAUGCCGACAAAAGGGGCAUGUGUGCCCCACUGUGCCACCCCGGGAGCAUUGCCUUCUGAGCGGCGCCACUCAGUAAAGACAGAGACAAACUCCGUACGUUCAGGAUUGGAAGGGGACCAGGACACCGCGGAAGAACCGCGGGGGGAUGGGAGUGGCUCUGCCUUCCCUGAGUGGGUGUGUGGAGCCCGAAGGCAGCCCUUGCUUGCGCUCUGAUCUUCGCUGCACACCAGCCAGGUGGAAGGGUGCCAGACCACCCACCGCCAGGCAGCCUCUGCCGGCCUGCCCGCUCCACUCACCUCAGCAGCAAAGUGCUUCCCACCGACAGUGUGCUCGGAGCCGUGAGGGUCAUUCUGGUUCCCCCAGUGCAGGUGCAGCUGGGCGGCACUGUAGCGGGACCGGAGGCCCUGGAUGUGCAUGUCCGAGGGCAGGUUCAGCCUCACUGUGGGGAGUGGAGCCUUCAGAGCCCUGGCCAGCUGAGCACUGCCUGAGAGCAGUUAGCGAUGCGACACUGGCCCCGGGGCCCAGACAGGAGGCAGGUGGAUGCAGUGAGUGGAGACACAGCCUGGGGCUCAGAAACCUGGGCUCUUCUCCUGAAAGUGUCCCCAUUUCCCUAAAGCAAUUCUAGUCGCACCAGCCCCUUCUAAGCUCCCCUGGGAAAAGGAUGGCAAGAGCACUAAUACUAGAUGGGUGGGUGUGUUUUUACAUAUGCACGUAUUACACACCCAGCUAUCAAGAUAGAACCUUUAGUGAAGUAUCUUCCAAGCCGUAGAAUAAUAUAACAGCAACAAUAAUAAUUGCUAUUUAUGAAGCAUCUUCUGUAUUCCAGAUCCCCAACAUACAUAAUCUCUAGUCUUUCCGCAGUACCCAUCAAUAUGCCCAUUUUCCACAUGAAAGCUCAAGGAGAUUAAUAUUCUUACCCAGAGUCUCAUGACUCAUAAGUAGUCAAGCCGGGAUUCAAAUCCAGGUUUGUCUGACUCCAAAGCCUGGGCGACCCCACAGUGAGUUGCGUGGCUCCUGGAGUGUUUGCGCCAGGGAGCCCAAGGGCUCAAGCCUGUCCCCCGCCUCCCCCCGCCCCCCCCCCCCCGCCCCUUCCCAAGAAAUGUGCUUCUUAUGCAAGGUGCUGCCCUGGAAGAACUGCCCCCGGCAUCCCCCCCAGUGAGUGGUCCAGGCAUCUCUCAUCCCUCCCCCCUCCCACCGUCCCUUCUCCUGGGGGCUGUACUUCAGUGCAGCCCCCUCCCUGCCAGGGGCAAGAGAGUGGGCCAAGGAGCUGAGGGGAGCUCAGACAUCCCCUUGCAGUCCUCAGAGGUCUCUCUCACCUGAAUGGCCAUCGUUGUUCAGGAGAAACUGCUCGUUAGCAGAAACAUUGUAGCCUUGGAACCCAAGGGGCACGAGGCUGGCGUCGUACUGGAGGAUGUCACUGUGCAGGUCUAUUGGGGACUGCAGCACGCCCCCACAUGAUGGGUACUUCUUGGACCAGCUCUUCUCCCCAUCUGGACCUGAAAGGGGAGAUUCAGGCCCUAAAGUGAGUCCAUUUCCCACAAAACUGUUUUCCUCACUUUCUAAUUCUGUGUCCAAUACAAUCACUUCUUUUCUCCUCUUAAUCCCCAGAGGUAUAUUCUUCGAGGCCCAGAAAUCUCAGCCUCCUGCCAUUUGUCCUUGAAGGGAGAUGGGGAUAGAAGGACUAGAGCAGCCCCAUGCCACGGAAUAGGGCCCACCAAGCUCCGUUUUCAUUGCUCAUAUUCUGGCACAGUACACAUCCUUUUCAUGUGAGGACCUGUUGAUAUUCAGCAAUUUAGCCUCUGUUUAUGGAGCACCUAUUACGAGCAGGAAUUACUCAGGGUCUUGGGGCCACCAGGUUGAACACAACCAUAGGGCCCCUGCUUGCCCAAGCUUGCAUCCUCUGGGAUGCUCCAGGCUGGAAAAAGUGGUGUCUUACUGACCACAGCUCCAGGAAAGUGUUCAGGGCUCGUGGAUUUAUAGAUAUGAUCUUCCUGAUAGGAAACCUUUGAGGACAUUGACUCUUGAUAGCCACAUCCAGAGCAAGUGUAAAACCCCAUCUGAUAGGGAUGCUUGAAAAAUUCCAAGUAAUUAGGGGAUCACAGAGCUAAGUGCACAGUGUACCCUGAGAGAGUGUGACAACACUACAAACUAAUGACAAACGAUCAGUGAGGAGGAAGAGACUUAAAAAUAAAUCCUCCAGGGCUCAGGCUUCUUGCUAACUACCAGGUGAUUGUCCUUCCUCUGGAAAUGGAAAUAAACAAUCCAAUCCCA